Molecule: ribosomal RNA, 1000 nt
Filed under: uncultured Fusobacteriota bacterium
Lineage: Bacteria; Fusobacteriati; Fusobacteriota
Description: bacterial SSU rRNA
Rfam family: Bacterial small subunit ribosomal RNA
Source: RNAcentral
GCUUACACAUGCAAGUCGACUGGAAUUCUUCUUCGGAAGAUAGUACGGUGGCGGACGGGUGAGUAACGCGUAAAGAAUUUGCCCUUCAGACUGGGACAACUAAUCGAAAGGUUAGCUAAUACCGGAUAUUAUGAGACCUCGGCAUCGAGGACUUAUGAAAGCUAUAUGCGCUGGAGGAGAACUUUGCGUUCCAUUAGCUAGUUGGUAGGGUAAUGGCCUACCAAGGCGACGAUGGAUAGCCGGCCUGAGAGGGUGAACGGCCACAAGGGGACUGAGACACGGCCCUUACUCCUACGGGAGGCAGCAGUGGGGAAUAUUGGACAAUGGACCAAAAGUCUGAUCCAGCAAUUCUGUGUGCACGAUGAAGGUCUUCGGAUUGUAAAGUGCUUUCAGGCGGGAAGAAGAAAGUGACGGUACCACCAGAAGAAGCGACGGCUAAAUACGUGCCAGCAGCCGCGGUAAUACGUAUGUCGCAAGCGUUAUCCGGAAUUAUUGGGCGUAAAGCGAGUCUAGGCGGCUUGUUAAGUCAGAUGUGAAAAUGCGGGGCUCAACUCCGUAUUGCGUUUGAAACUGGCAGGCUAGAGUACUGGAGAGGUGGGCGGAACUACAAGUGUAGAGGUGAAAUUCGUAGAUAUUUGUAGGAAUGCCGAUAGUGAAGACAGCUCACUGGACAGAUACUGACGCUAAAGCUCGAAAGCGUGGGGAGCGAACAGGAUUAGAUACCCUGGUAGUCCACGCCGUAAACGAUGUUCACUGGGUGUAGGGGGUCGAACCUCUGUGCCGAAGCUAACGCGAUAAGUGAACCGCCUGGGGAGUACGCACGCAAGUGUGAAACUCAAAGGAAUUGACGGGGACCCGCACAAGCGGUGGAGCAUGUGGUUUAAUUCGACGCAACGCGAGGAAACCUUACCAGCACUUGACAUACAACGAACUCGUCAGAGAUGACUUGGUGCCGCUUCGUGGAACGUUGAUACAGUGGUGCAUGGCUGUCGUCAGCUCG